RNAcentral lists this long non-coding RNA (386 nucleotides) under Mytilus galloprovincialis (Mediterranean mussel). Lineage: Eukaryota; Metazoa; Mollusca; Bivalvia; Mytilida; Mytilidae. The record is from RNAcentral.
GACCACAAAAGUAAGGUUGGGAUUGAUUUUGGGAGUUUUGGUCCCAACAUUUUAGGAAUAAGGGGCCAAAAAGGGCCCAAAUAAGCAUUUUCUUGGUUUUCGCACUAUAACUUUAGUUUAAGUUAAUAGAAAUCUAUGAAAUUUUGACACAAGGUUUAUGACCACAAAAGAAAGGUUGGGAUUGAUUUUGGGAGUUUUGGUUCCAACAGUUUAGGAAUUAGGGGCAAAAAAAGGGCCCAAAUAAGCAUUAUUCUUGGUUUUCGCACAAUAACUUUAGUUUAAGUAAAUAGAAAUCUAUGAAAUUUAAACACAAGGUUUAUGACCAUAAAAGGAAGGUUGGUAUUGAUUUUGGGAGUUUUGGUCCCAACAGUUUAGGAAUAAAGGGC